RNAcentral lists this ribosomal RNA (509 nucleotides) under uncultured bacterium. RNAcentral describes it as "bacterial SSU rRNA". It matches the Rfam family "Bacterial small subunit ribosomal RNA", at positions 501 to 1009 of the family's 1533-position model. The record is from RNAcentral.
CUACGUGCCAGCAGCCGCGGUAAUACGUAGGUGGCGAGCGUUGUCCGGAAUUAUUGGGCGUAAAGGGAGCGCAGGCGGACAUAUAAGUCCAUCUUAAAAGUGCGGGGCUCAACCCCGUGAGGGGAUGGAAACUGUAUGCCUUGAGUGCAGGAGAGGAAAGCGGAAUUCCCAGUGUAGCGGUGAAAUGCGUAGAUAUUGGGAGGAACACCAGUGGCGAAGGCGGCUUUCUGGACUGUAACUGACGCUGAGGCUCGAAAGCCAGGGGAGCGAACGGGAUUAGAUACCCCGGUAGUCCUGGCCGUAAACGAUGGGUACUAGGUGUAGGAGGUAUCGACCCCUUCUGUGCCGGAGUUAACGCAAUAAGUACCCCGCCUGGGGAGUACGACCGCAAGGUUGAAACUCAAAGGAAUUGACGGGGGCCCGCACAAGCGGUGGAGUAUGUGGUUUAAUUCGACGCAACGCGAAGAACCUUACCAGGUCUUGACAUUGAUGGACAGAACUAGAGAUAG